GAUGAACGCUGGCGGCGUGCUUAACACAUGCAAGUCGAACGAAGCACUUUAUUACGAUUUCUUCGGAAUGACGAUUUAGUGACUGAGUGGCGGACGGGUGAGUAACGCGUGGGUAACCUGCCUUAUACAGGGGGACAACAGUUGGAAACGACUGCCAAUACCGCAUAAGCGCACAGUACCGCAUGGUACAGAGCGAAAAAACUCCGGUGGUAUAGGAUGGGCCCGCGUCUGAUUAGUUAGUUGGCGGUGUAACGGACCACCAAGACGACGAUCAGUAGCCGGCUUGAGAGAGUGAACGGCCACAUUGGGACUGAGACACGGCCCAAACUCCUACGGGAGGCAGCAGUGGGGAAUAUUGCACAAUGGGGGAAACCCUGAUGCAGCAACGCCGCGUGAGUGAAGAAGUAUUUCGGUAUGUAAAGCUCUAUCAGCAGGGAAGAAAAUGACGGUACUGACUAAGAAGCCCCGGCUAACUACGUG
This 480-nucleotide ribosomal RNA is filed under the name uncultured bacterium. RNAcentral describes it as "bacterial SSU rRNA". It matches the Rfam family "Bacterial small subunit ribosomal RNA", at positions 28 to 507 of the family's 1533-position model. The record is from RNAcentral.